This 914-nucleotide ribosomal RNA is filed under the name Pseudomonas koreensis. Its description in RNAcentral is "bacterial SSU rRNA". It matches the Rfam family "Bacterial small subunit ribosomal RNA", at positions 73 to 983 of the family's 1533-position model. Lineage: Bacteria; Pseudomonadati; Pseudomonadota; Gammaproteobacteria; Pseudomonadales; Pseudomonadaceae. The record is from RNAcentral.
AAGGAGCUUGCUCCUGGAUUCAGCGGCGGACGGGUGAGUAAUGCCUAGGAAUCUGCCUGGUAGUGGGGGACAACGUUUCGAAAGGAACGCUAAUACCGCAUACGUCCUACGGGAGAAAGCAGGGGACCUUCGGGCCUUGCGCUAUCAGAUGAGCCUAGGUCGGAUUAGCUAGUUGGUGAGGUAAUGGCUCACCAAGGCGACGAUCCGUAACUGGUCUGAGAGGAUGAUCAGUCACACUGGAACUGAGACACGGUCCAGACUCCUACGGGAGGCAGCAGUGGGGAAUAUUGGACAAUGGGCGAAAGCCUGAUCCAGCCAUGCCGCGUGUGUGAAGAAGGUCUUCGGAUUGUAAAGCACUUUAAGUUGGGAGGAAGGGUUGUAGAUUAAUACUCUGCAAUUUUGACGUUACCGACAGAAUAAGCACCGGCUAACUCUGUGCCAGCAGCCGCGGUAAUACAGAGGGUGCAAGCGUUAAUCGGAAUUACUGGGCGUAAAGCGCGCGUAGGUGGUUUGUUAAGUUGGAUGUGAAAUCCCCGGGCUCAACCUGGGAACUGCAUCCAAAACUGGCAAGCUAGAGUAUGGUAGAGGGUGGUGGAAUUUCCUGUGUAGCGGUGAAAUGCGUAGAUAUAGGAAGGAACACCAGUGGCGAAGGCGACCACCUGGACUGAUACUGACACUGAGGUGCGAAAGCGUGGGGAGCAAACAGGAUUAGAUACCCUGGUAGUCCACGCCGUAAACGAUGUCAACUAGCCGUUGGGAGCCUUGAGCUCUUAGUGGCGCAGCUAACGCAUUAAGUUGACCGCCUGGGGAGUACGGCCGCAAGGUUAAAACUCAAAUGAAUUGACGGGGGCCCGCACAAGCGGUGGAGCAUGGUGGUUUAAUUCGAAGCACGCGAAGAAUCUUACCAGGUCUUG